RNAcentral lists this ribosomal RNA (465 nucleotides) under uncultured bacterium. Its description in RNAcentral is "partial 16S ribosomal RNA". It matches the Rfam family "Bacterial small subunit ribosomal RNA", at positions 338 to 795 of the family's 1533-position model. The record is from RNAcentral.
CCUACGGGUGGCAGCAGUAGGGAAUUUUCGUCAAUGGGCGCAAGCCUGAACGAGCAAUGCCGCGUGAACGAGGAAGGUCUUCGGAUCGUAAAGUUCUGUUGAAGGGGAAGAAGAGCGGAGGGAGGAAAUGGUCUCCGAUUGAUAUUACCCUUCGAGGAAGUCACGGCUAACUACGUGCCAGCAGCCGCGGUAAUACGUAGGGUGCGAGCGUUAUCCGGAAUGAUUGGGCGUAAAGGGUGCGUAGGCGGCCUGCUAAGUCUGAAGUGAAAGGUACCGGCUCAACCGGUACAGGCUCUGGAAACUGGGGGGCUAGAGAGAAGGAGAGGGCGGUGGAACUCCAUGGGUAGCGGUAAAAUGCGUAGAUAUAUGGAAGAACACCAGUGGCGAAGGCGGCCGCCUGGCCUGUUGACUGACGCUGAGGCACGAAAGCGUGGGGAGCAAAUAGGAUUAGAUACCCCUGUAGUC